Molecule: long non-coding RNA, 435 nt
Organism: Homo sapiens (human)
Lineage: Eukaryota; Metazoa; Chordata; Mammalia; Primates; Hominidae
Exons: 2
Source: RefSeq, a predicted model, not a curated record
UAAGCAGAGCUCCCUUGAGAGUUCUUCAAAGAGAAGUUGAAUGAUUAAUCUGAUUUUGCUUCCCUGGGAUUACUCAUUAGUAAGAUAUUCUUUCAGAUACUGUGUACUGAUGAAACUGCUGACUCAGCUGGUCUGAAGGACCCCACUGGCACUGGCUGGUCUGAAGGACCCUGCUGAUCACAACUUGCCUGAAGGACCCUACUGACAUCAGCUGUUGUCCAAAGGACGCCACAAGAAACUGACUCACCAAAAAAUGCAUCCUGAUGAUUUCAUCCCCCUUAACCCGACCAAUCAACAACCCCAAAUCUACACAGCCCCUUUCCCUCCAUGAUUCCUACAAAACUCCAGCCCAGAACUCCUCAGGGAGAUGGAUUUGAAGGUCUCCUCCCUUCUACUUGCUUGAUGCCCUAUUAUUAUUAAACUCUUUGCUACAAA